ACUGAUGUAUAAUUUAAACAAAGAAAAGAACAUUUAAAAAAAAUUAGAACGAAGAAAAAAGAAGCGGGAUUGUACCUGCCUUUAAUUAGUUUCUUUAUUUCCUUUAUUUUUUCAGCCAUUUUCAGCAAACUACAAUCUGGCUCCUCUUAUCGGAGCAUUUGUCUUGCUGCUGCAAGGAGCUCGUCGGCCUCCACCGCGCUAGAAGUUUUUCAUCUAAGCUUUUGAGCUUUUGGGCUUUUGGAGUCUAAACAUCACUAGCAGCUAUGGAUCGAUAUAUGCAAUAUACAUUGGCUGAACAAGAUGAAGAUAGUGUAGAAUCAUUUACAGAUUUGUUGACAAAUAAUAAUGACAAAAAGAAUGGUAGAGGUCCUACACAAAUGCGUGACAUUUGGGGAAAUCUUGAUGGUAAAAAGAUACAAAUCACAUGUAAUAAAUUUGGACAACCACAUGAUAAAAAUGCAAGUAGACUUGCAAAAUUCAUUGGGACAUUAGUACGAGAUGGAAAAAAUGCUCCAAUUAACUAUGAAAAUUUAAAUAAAGUACCAGACAAAUACAAAGUUACA
Cannabis sativa is the source of this 563-nucleotide long non-coding RNA. RefSeq lists it as uncharacterized. Lineage: Eukaryota; Viridiplantae; Streptophyta; Magnoliopsida; Rosales; Cannabaceae. The transcript has 3 exons. The record is from RefSeq and is a predicted model, not a curated record.